AUUCUGCACUAGGGGAGCUGGAGAAGCCGGCUGAGAGUAAGACCUUUUGUCUUUGACCCUUCAAACCUGAACUAGUUAAAACUAGCGUAGGGAAGUCGCGUUACGAUAUUA
This 111-nucleotide non-coding RNA is filed under the name Priestia endophytica. RNAcentral's name for it is "Bacillus endophyticus TPP sequence". It matches the Rfam family "TPP riboswitch aptamer (THI element)". Rfam says of the family: Vitamin B(1) in its active form thiamin pyrophosphate (TPP) is an essential coenzyme that is synthesised by coupling of pyrimidine and thiazole moieties in bacteria. The previously detected thiamin-regulatory element, thi box was extended, resulting in a new, highly conserved RNA secondary structure, the THI element, which is widely distributed in eubacteria and also occurs in some archaea. Lineage: Bacteria; Bacillati; Bacillota; Bacilli; Caryophanales; Bacillaceae. The record is from Rfam by way of RNAcentral.